This 406-nucleotide ribosomal RNA is filed under the name uncultured bacterium. RNAcentral describes it as "partial 16S ribosomal RNA". It matches the Rfam family "Bacterial small subunit ribosomal RNA", at positions 30 to 526 of the family's 1533-position model. The record is from RNAcentral.
AUUGAACGCUGGCGGCAUGCCUAACACAUGCAAGUCGAACGACUGGCGGACGGGUGAGUUAUUUCUUGGCAACUGCCUGAUGGAUGCGUAUAACUACUGGAAACGGUAGCUAAUACCGCAUACCAUCUGAUGUGCCCAGAUGGGAUUAGCUAGUAGGUGGGGUAACGGCUAACCUAGGCGACUAUCCCUAGCUGGUCUGAGAGGAUGACCAGCAACACUGGAACUGAGACACGGUCCAGACUCCUACGGGAGGCAGCAGUGGGGAAUGUUGCACAAUGGGGGAAAGCCUGAUCGAGCCAUGCCGCGUGUGUGAAGAAGGCCUUCGGGUUGUAAAGUACUUUUGGCAGGAAAGCGUUACCCAAAGAGGAAGCACCGGCUAACUACGUGCCAGCAGCCGCGGUAAUAC